Molecule: ribosomal RNA, 712 nt
Filed under: uncultured Capnocytophaga sp.
Lineage: Bacteria; Pseudomonadati; Bacteroidota; Flavobacteriia; Flavobacteriales; Flavobacteriaceae
Description: bacterial SSU rRNA
Rfam family: Bacterial small subunit ribosomal RNA
Source: RNAcentral
UCGAGGGAAGAGCUUUCGGGCUUCGACCGGCGUACGGGUGCGUAACGCGUAUACAAUCUGCCUUUCACAUAGGGAUAGCCCGAAGAAAUUUGGAUUAAUACCUAAUGGUAUAUAGGAGUGGCAUCACAUUUAUAUUAAAGCUGAGGCGGUGAAAGAUGAGUAUGCGUUCUAUUAGCUAGUUGGAGAGGUAACGGCUCCCCAAGGCUACGAUAGAUAGGGGUUCUGAGAGGGAUAUCCCCCACACUGGUACUGAGAUACGGACCAGACUCCUACGGGAGGCAGCAGUGAGGAAUAUUGGACAAUGGUCGGAAGACUGAUCCAGCCAUGCCGCGUGCAGGAAGACGGCCUUAUGGGUUGUAAACUGCUUUUGCAGGGGAAGAAUAAGGAGUACGUGUACUUUGAUGACGGUACUCUGCGAAUAAGCACCGGCUAACUCCGUGCCAGCAGCCGCGGUAAUACGGAGGGUGCAAGCGUUAUCCGGAUUUAUUGGGUUUAAAGGGUCCGUAGGCGGGCUGAUAAGUCAGUGGUGAAAUCCUGCAGCUUAACUGUAGAACUGCCAUUGAUACUGUUAGUCUUGAAUGGUUGUGAAGUAGUUGGAAUGUGUAGUGUAGCGGUGAAAUGCUUAGAUAUUACACAGAACACCGAUAGCGAAGGCAUAUUACUAACAGUUAAUUGACGCUGAUGGACGAAAGCGUGGGGAGCGAACAGGAUU